CAAUCAAUCAUGUUCUUCACUUCCCUUUAGUUUCACCUCCGUUUCUUUCUCCUCUUUUAUAAACCAUGUCGAAGUGCCUCUCCCGAGGUUUUGGGAGGCUCGAGGCGGCGAGCUUGGAUGUCGAUAUGCUACCCCUCAAAAUAUUUUUCUUUCAGUCUCAAGAAUGGUGUCUCUUUUGGGCAUCUUGACCUGUUUUUUCUUUUAGUAUUUUUUCUGAGUCAUUCUUCAAUUCAAGCUUAGAAUCCAUGUUUUUACUUUUCUGUUUAGCUUUUCAUUUUUCAUUUUUUUUUCUCACCAGCUUCUGAUGUUUCUUUUGAGAUUUCCAGCUAAUAUGUUGUAAAGUUCUCUCCUUCUGUACGUCUUUAAAAGAAUCCAACACAAUCAACGGUUUGAAGACAUUCCUUUGGAUUCUGUUUAGGUACAUGUAUAGAUAUUCAUAGCUGGAUCUGAGUUUCUUAGUAAGCUGAAUAUAUUUUUUUCUGAGAAAGUGAUUAAAAACAGUUAAUUCAUACUUUCUUUAGUUUGGUUCUACUGAUUUAGUGACUUUCAGACUAACCACCAGCUUCAGGUGCUAAUAAACGACAACUAUCAAGUUUUCAACUUGAACAAACUAUAUCUAAAUGGCGGAGGCUGAGAGCUUUGUCCCUUUUCAGUGCAUAAGGAAUGAUGUCAUUUGGAGACUCAAAUCCUACAAGCAUGAUUGGAUCAGUGCUUUCAGAGCUGAAUUUAGGCUCUAUCCCAGGAUCAGACGGAUAGAGACAUUGCCAAAUGAAGUCAGUACAAUUUUCUCAGAAAAGGAUAUAUUGUGAAACAUGCACAGCAGAUAGAAGUACUAAGACAUCCUGCAGUGGGAGGCUUUUGGCUGUGGAUGGAACUCAACACUCAAGAGCAUUGUGAAAGGAGUUCCACUGAUUUGUAGGCCUUUCCAAAGCGAGCAGAAGGUAAACACAGCGUACAUAGUAACUGUUUGGGAAAUAGGGAUUCAGCUGGAAGGCUAAGUAGAAAGAGGAAAGGUCGAGAGAGCUGUGAAGAGGUUGAUUGUGGAUGAAGAAGGUGCAGAGAUGAGGGAUAGAGCAUUAGUUUUGAAAGAAAAGUUCAAAGUCUCUUUGAUAAGUGGAGGCUCCUCAUACAAUGCUUUGGAUGAGUUCGUCAAAUAGUUGACGAUAAAGAAGAGAUGUUGAACUUAAUGUAUUUAUUACUAAAGACCAUUGAUCAUAUUGAGUUAUAUGGAUUAACCUUGAUAUUGUAAAAUCCACUGAGCAGUUUUGGUUUUGGAAAUAAAAACCAG
Brassica oleracea var. oleracea is the source of this 1288-nucleotide long non-coding RNA. RefSeq lists it as uncharacterized. The transcript has 3 exons. The record is from RefSeq and is a predicted model, not a curated record. NCBI's taxonomy places the organism in Eukaryota, Viridiplantae, Streptophyta, Magnoliopsida, Brassicales, Brassicaceae.